This 484-nucleotide ribosomal RNA is filed under the name uncultured bacterium. RNAcentral describes it as "partial 16S ribosomal RNA". It matches the Rfam family "Bacterial small subunit ribosomal RNA", at positions 28 to 507 of the family's 1533-position model. The record is from RNAcentral.
AUUGAACGCUGGCGGCAUGCUUUACACAUGCAAGUCGAACGGCAGCGCGGGCUUCGGCCUGGCGGCGAGUGGCGAACGGGUGAGUAAUGCAUCGGAACGUGCCCAGUAGUGGGGGAUAGCCCGGCGAAAGCCGGAUUAAUACCGCAUACGACCUGAGGGUGAAAGCGGGGGACCGAAAGGCCUCGCGCUAUUGGAGCGGCCGAGGUCGGAUUAGCUAGUUGGUGGGGUAAAGGCUUACCAAGGCGACGAUCCGUAGCUGGUCUGAGAGGACGACCAGCCACACUGGGACUGAGACACGGCCCAGACUCCUACGGGAGGCAGCAGUGGGGAAUUUUGGACAAUGGGGGCAACCCUGAUCCAGCCAUGCCGCGUGCGGGAAGAAGGCCUUCGGGUUGUAAACCGCUUUUGUUCGGGAAGAAAUCCUCUGGGCUAAUACCCCGGGGGGAUGACGGUACCGGAAGAAUAAGCACCGGCUAACUACGUG